This 463-nucleotide ribosomal RNA is filed under the name uncultured bacterium. RNAcentral's name for it is "partial 16S ribosomal RNA". It matches the Rfam family "Bacterial small subunit ribosomal RNA", at positions 28 to 507 of the family's 1533-position model. The record is from RNAcentral.
GACGAACGCUGGCGGCGUGCUUAACACAUGCAAGUCGAACGGUGAACCUCUUCGGAGGGACUCAGUGGCGAACGGGUGAGUAACACGUGGGCAACCUGCCCCCGGCUCUGGGAUAACUCCAAGAAAUUGGGGCUAAUACCGGAUGUUCACCGCUUCCCGCAUGGGUGGUGGUGGAAAGGGUUUCCGGCUGGGGAUGGGCCCGCGGCCUAUCAGCUUGUUGGUGGGGUAGUGGCCUACCAAGGCGACGACGGGUAGCCGGCCUGAGAGGGUGACCGGCCACACUGGGACUGAGACACGGCCCAGACUCCUACGGGAGGCAGCAGUGGGGAAUAUUGCGCAAUGGGCGGAAGCCUGACGCAGCGACGCCGCGUGGGGGAUGACGGCCUUCGGGUUGUAAACCUCUUUCAGCAGGGACGAAGCGCAAGUGACGGUACCUGCAGAAGAAGCACCGGCCAACUACGUG